This 273-nucleotide unclassified non-coding RNA is filed under the name Hevea brasiliensis (rubber tree). The record is from RNAcentral. Lineage: Eukaryota; Viridiplantae; Streptophyta; Magnoliopsida; Malpighiales; Euphorbiaceae.
AUCGAAUGCGAGGCUGAUAAAUAUCCUAUGAAGAUGUCUAGUGACAUUAGCAGGGAGGAGAAAACCUUUGAUGAUUCAGAGACAACUGGAGGUGCAUUGUGGGACAUUUUCAGAAGGGAAGAUGUACCCAAGUUGAGUGAGUAUCUUUUAAAGCAUGCAAAGGAAUUUAGGCACACUUUCUGUUGUCCGGUUGAUCAGGUUUUUCAUCCAAUCCAUGACCAGAGCUUCUACUUAACUUUGGAGCACAAGAGAAAACUGAAGGAAGAAUUCGGG